Molecule: long non-coding RNA, 238 nt
Filed under: Numida meleagris (helmeted guineafowl)
Lineage: Eukaryota; Metazoa; Chordata; Aves; Galliformes; Numididae
Description: lncRNA (ENSNMEG00000002462.1)
Source: RNAcentral
UGAUGAUGGAGAUGACGAUGGUGUUGAUGAUGAUGGUGUUGAUGAUGAUGAUGAUGGUGGUGGUGACGAUUGAGGUGACAAUGAUGAUGACGAUGGAGGUGCCGAUGAUGAUGAUGGUGACGAUGGAGGUGACAAUGGUGACAAUGGUGAUGAUGAUGAUGGAGGUGACAAUGGUGAUGAUGAUGAUGAUGAUGAUGGAGGUGAUGAUGGUGAUGAUGGUGAUGAUGAUGAUGAUGGA